RNAcentral lists this ribosomal RNA (652 nucleotides) under bacterium SCSIO13127. RNAcentral's name for it is "bacterial SSU rRNA". It matches the Rfam family "Bacterial small subunit ribosomal RNA", at positions 56 to 755 of the family's 1533-position model. The record is from RNAcentral.
UGCAGUCGAACGGAUCCUUCGGGAUUAGUGGCAGACGGGUGAGUAACGCGUGGGAAGCUACCUUGUGGUAGGGAACAACAGUUGGAAACGACUGCUAAUACCCUAUGAGCCCUAUGGGGGAAAGAUUUAUCGCCAUGAGAUGUGCCCGCGUUAGAUUAGCUAGUUGGUAAGGUAAUGGCUUACCAAGGCGACGAUCUAUAGCUGGUCUGAGAGGAUGAUCAGCCACACUGGGACUGAGACACGGCCCAGACUCCUACGGGAGGCAGCAGUGGGGAAUAUUGGACAAUGGGGGCAACCCUGAUCCAGCCAUGCCGCGUGAGUGAUGACGGCCUUAGGGUUGUAAAGCUCUUUCAGCAGUGAAGAUAAUGACAUUAACUGCAGAAGAAGCCCCGGCUAACUUCGUGCCAGCAGCCGCGGUAAUACGAAGGGGGCUAGCGUUGUUCGGAAUCACUGGGCGUAAAGCGUACGUAGGCGGACUGAUCAGUCAGGGGUGAAAUCCCGGGGCUCAACCCCGGAACUGCCUUUGAUACUGUCAGUCUUGAGAUCGAGAGAGGUGAGUGGAACUCCGAGUGUAGAGGUGAAAUUCGUAGAUAUUCGGAAGAACACCAGUGGCGAAGGCGGCUCACUGGCUCGAUACUGACGCUGAGGUACG